Molecule: long non-coding RNA, 510 nt
Filed under: Pogona vitticeps (central bearded dragon)
Lineage: Eukaryota; Metazoa; Chordata; Lepidosauria; Squamata; Agamidae
Description: lncRNA (ENSPVIG00000017028.1)
Source: RNAcentral
AUCAUUUGAUACCUCCACUUCUCCCACCAUGCCUCCCCACAAGAUAGACUACAAGAUAGACUAAUGGGCGUAUAAAGUAGAAUCAUAAAUGACCACAGAGCAUUUCCUAUCGGUCUCUGGAAAACUGUUGUCUUAACAAACAACAACAACAAAGCAAGACUUUACUCAAGAGUUGAUAGCAGUGUUUUUUUUUUUCCAUAGGGGACAAAAGAGGUGCAUGCUUUGUGUAGAGAAAACAGAGCUGAUCCAGCACAGCAGUAAACCCAGGCAUAUAAUUCUACCUAUUGCCACUGCUCACCAAACCACAUGGUGUAUUUCCUUUUGCCAGAUCAAAGCCAUGCCACAUGGAGCAGAACAAACAAAGCUUCAGCCAAGCAUUCUACCAAGUAGAGGGGAUGGACAAGAAUAAACUUCACCAAAACACAUGUACUUUCAUGUACUUGAGAGUUGUCCAGAUAAAAUUUCCCUGUGACCAGACUGUUCUUCCCCCCUCCCACCACAAAACAGGAA